AGAUAAGCAGCAGAAUUUAUCAGGCGUGAAAGGGACAGCCUCCUGGUGGCCUGCCAAAAACCCAGAAUAAAGGCGAAGUUGUGCUUCAAAGCUCAGUCGCUUGCUGAGUCUGGCUAAAGUCAAGUAUUAAGAUCCACCAUUUUCUGAGCCAUGCUAGAAAAGAAGAAAAAAGUCAGGACGGUUGCUGCUUUCCAAGUCUCCGUUGGCACCAUCACAAAAUCUCAGUCGUAAGGUCACAUGAUUCUCUGCCAAAUGUAGAGUGCAUUCCCAUCAACCAUUCUGCUGAUACUGCGAAGGCAGCUAUUGUCUCGUUUAGACCCAAAGUUCAGCCCACUCUUCAUUGAAUUAGCUGAAAAACGCAUCACCUUUGGGGGCUGGGAGUCAUGGAAACGUCUACCUGGCAAGCUGCCCACUUUUUCUGCCCAUCAACCAGAGAUGGAAUUGUGCUGCCUAAUGCAAUGAUGACUUGGAAUGUGAAGAGUCGUCCAAAGUGAAUCUGAUUCUUGCAACGCCUGUUUCAGUUUGCACAGAAAACUCUGGCUUCUUGUAGUUAAGGGUGUGUGUGUGCUGGGGGGGAAUCCUUCAGACUAAAUGUAGCAAAUAAAGGUCUGAACAUGCCUACUCCGUAACUUUAUUUCACAACACAAAUGGUUCUCAAAGGAAAAGACUGAAGUCUCUGCAAGUUUUCCCUUCCCCUGCCCCCUUUUCCUUUCUGAGUGAAUGCAACAAGCCCAGGACGUUUGUUUUAGUCCCUUGCAUUAAGAUUGAAAAGCUCUUGAGUUUUGUCUUGCUUUUUAUUACUUUCUGAUUUUUAUCUGGCACCAGUUUUGUACUACACGGCCACAAUAUCCUCCAGCAGCAGUGGGGAUGCAUUAUUGCUUCAAUUUCCGUCAAAGUGGUCCCCUGAGGGAUGCCAGUUGUCUCUUCAACCGCGCACACCCCUGCAACUGGGUCCUGGGGUAAUCCUCAGCAGUACCUAGCACAGCUGCUGUGCAAGUUUGCUAAGAUUUGACUCAUGGAAGAAGUGCUCUUUCUGUUCCUUCACCAGCUACAGUUUUCCUGUGUGGCGUGAAAGAUCCCGUUGAAAGAUACAAGGAAUGUAUCAACAGCUUCUAGGCAAUCAAAUGAAAGGGUUCCCUCACCUCAAUGGAUUUCCAUUCUCACAGGCGACAGAAGUUCCCGUGGACAAACAUUUCCAUACUUUCUAACAAAAGUACAGUGAAUGAAAUCUUUCACCAUUUCCUUAAGCAAAAUCUAUAGCUCAGUGGGAAAGCAAGUGCUAUUAGUAUUUAAGCGAAACAUACUCAGUAGUACCAAAAAGAAUUAUGGUUGCCUUUCCUGCAUUAAAAAAUGCUUCAGUUUUUCUAAGAUGGGGGAAUCUUUAUAAUUAUCUUUGCACAAUUUUAAAAUUAUAUUCAGUGCCUUACAAAACUAUGGAUGAAUGUUAUCCCUCCUCCAUGUACAGACACUCACAUAUAGACAUAUAUAUUGCACAAUACCAGACAAAGACUGGAAAAGGUAAUCAAACCAUUACUUGCCUAUAAAAAAAUAAACAAAACCAAAAGAAUUCAAGGAUCUAGCAAAUAUCUUGGAAACGGUCUCUGGUCUUUUUUGAGUUAUGGUCUUUGAGUCACUUUCUUGAGGAAGGAUAGGAGUGAGUAUGCAUACACGCACAUGCAUGGAAACCAUUCUGAUGUUUUCCCCAUAUGUAAUUCAGAAUACAAACAAUUCUAAACCAUAAAAUAAAAACUUACACAUGUGCUGAAAUUAAAAAUUUGCUUUUUUUUUCUAGAUUGCAAAAUUGUGGAUAAAUUUUAGUACUGUCCUAAGCACAUGCCUUGGAGUGCCUGGUGGGGGAACAAGCCCAGCCAACACAUGUGCCCCAUGCUUUAGCACAGCCAGAAGAAAGUAGAUAAGUCCUCACAGAAAGAAAAUGUUGUGUUCUCGUUCACUUAUUCAGCAAUUAUUUAAGUAGGUGUAUGUGGCCAGGCUGUGUGAUAGACACAGGGGAACAGCAAUGAGUCAAAUGGACAUGCCCCCAGGUGGGAGUCAUUCAGGAAGAACUUUCAAGUAAGAAAAGCUCACUUCUUCACAGAAGUGUUGUGGGUCCUGAAGGAGCAUUUAUUGCUCAUCAAGAAACACAAUGAUAAGAAUAGGAAAUUGGAAGAAAAAUAGAGAUGAUUUCUGUCAUCUUGCGUUUUUUUUUUUUUUUUUUUUUUUUUUUUUUGCUGUUUAGGGCUGCACUGGCAGCAUAUGGAAGUUAUCAGGCUAGGGGUCAAAUGAGAGCUACAGCUGCUGGCCUAUGUCACAGCCACAGCAAUGCAGGAUCCGAGCUGCAUCUGUGACCUACACCACAGUUCACUGUGUGAGACCAGGGAUUGAACCCGCAUCCUCAUGGAUAUUAGUUGGAUUUGUUUUCACUGUGCCACAACAGGAAUUCCUGUCUUGCUAUUUUAAAGUUUCUCUUUUUAAUACAAAAUAUAUUAAUCAGUUUGUCAUAAUUAUGUUUGAUCCCUAAAAGUACCUCAUGUGAAAAGUGUUAUGUUGCUCUCCCAAUUAAAAAGCAAAAACAAAAGCAGAAGACAGAGGAGAUGUUCACUUCCAGAGAGAUAGAGUAGGUGUAGUUUUACCCAAAUCCUCCUAAGUACAACUCAAAUCCCUGAACAUUGCAUAUAAUAAAACAAACAUAGGGAGACUCUGAAAGAUGGAGAGAAGAUAAUCCAGUUAGGGACCUCGGGACCCAAGGAACAAUAUGGUGGUAGGGUCCCUGGAUUUUAAGUUUGCUUCACAAAUUCAAAACUUGAAGCAGAAGAAGCCUGCCCCCCAGAGACAGAAACCAGUGCAGACCAAAAAAAUCUCCAAAAAGCCCCAAUCAGGAAUGCAGCAGGCUAGAAAGACAGAAAGCACUAGGACAAUACCACUUUUUUCCAGUCAAACACCCACCCCAUACCUGCAAAGUCAGAGCAGGGUACCUAGCACCAUGCUUGUUAGGCUAGAGCAAAAUAUCCCAACCUCCUCUACCCAACCUCAGGGCAGUAUAGGAAAGUCAGAGAGGAGGAUUGGACCUUUCAGCCUUGUCAGGGGAUAACAGGGUCCCUUCCCCUGCCAACAUGCAGCAUCAGUGGAGACUUUAUGGAGUUCUGGACAUCCACCCCAACUCAAAAGUAAUGAGGUAUUCUUCUUCUUCCUGCUAAGAUGUCAGACAAGAGAGGGCUAGCAGAGACUCAGGACAUUAGAAAAUGUCCAGUAGUCACGACACAACGCCGCUAUUCCCCCAACCUUUAGGCCGGAAAAUGUCAUUAAGGGAGUAGUAACAAAUCACUCCAGUCCUUCCUCUCUAGGAAGGCAUUGGUGAAGGCCUGCAGGGAAACAGGGACUCUGAUCCCCUCCCUGCAGUAACAACCUGGACUUCCACCUACACCUGGCAGUGACAAGACUGUGCUGCCCUUUCCCUGCUGGAUUAGUGUCAGAGGAAGCUACUUAAAACAGAAAGUUUAAAUGAGAUCUAGUGUCUCAGAGCAUGAUACCCAAAUGUCAAGGUUUCAGUUGAGAAUGGUUUGCUAUACAGCAAAGCAGGAAGAUCUCAAACUGAAUGUAAAAAGACAGAGUGCAUGUGAGCACUAAGAAGAGAGAGAUGUCGAAACUGCCUCACAAAGUUUUUAAAGCAGCCAUCAUGAAAAUGCUUCAAUGAGGAAUUAGGAAUACGGUUGAAAUCAACUUUUAAAAAAUUAAAAGUCUUAGCAAGUAAAUAGAAUAUAAAGAAUAACCAGAUGGAAAUUUUAGAACUGGAAAAUGUAUUUAGCUGAAGUUUAAAAAAAAAAAA
This 3823-nucleotide long non-coding RNA is filed under the name Sus scrofa (pig). Its description in RNAcentral is "lncRNA (ENSSSCG00005030696.1)". Lineage: Eukaryota; Metazoa; Chordata; Mammalia; Artiodactyla; Suidae. The record is from RNAcentral.